UACGUAGGGGGCAAGCGUUGUCCGGAAUCAUUGGGCGUAAAGAGCGCGUAGGCGGCCCUGUAAGUCCGCUGUGAAAGUCAAGGGCUCAACCCUUGGAUGCCGGUGGAUACUGCAGGGCUAGAGUCCGGAAGAGGCGAGUGGAAUUCCUGGUGUAGCGGUGAAAUGCGCAGAUAUCGAGAGGAACACCUGAGGUGAAGACGGGUUGCUGGGCCGACACUGACGCUGACAGCGCGAAAGCCAGGGGAGCAAACGGG
Molecule: ribosomal RNA, 254 nt
Filed under: uncultured bacterium
Lineage: Bacteria
Description: partial 16S ribosomal RNA
Rfam family: Bacterial small subunit ribosomal RNA
Source: RNAcentral